GCAAAGGUACUGUUUCAUGCGUAGACAAAAGAGGCUUCUGCUUGUUCGCUCGGGGUUGGAGAGGAAAAUAUCUUCUCUCGUUUCCUUCCCUACGCACGCGAUCCCUGUCUCUCUCUUUCCUUUCCUCUCCUCCAACCCCCGUCCCUUUCCUGCUGCUCCGCCGCCGGCUCUUUCUCCGCCAAGUCCACCGCGCGCCGCCCGUGCCCAUGCCCUCCUCACCUCCCGUCCCGAGCUCCAUCUCCCCCAGCCUCGUAUACCCCGAUCUUCUCGAUCCGAUUUGGAUCUCAGGAGCACACAGGAGGGGAGGCGAGGUGCCUGCGCCGGCGGCAAGGGUGCGUGGGUGCGGCUGAUGUCCACGUCCGCGGCCUCGCAGGCCAAGGACGCGGCGGCCAAGGCGGCCAAGGGCGACAGGGAGAAGAAGGAGGUGGCGAUUACGUCAAGGACGCUCUUCGCUUGCUCUGCUCUGCUCUGGUUUUCCCGUUUCGAUUACGUCACCGGCGAGGGGUCGCCAGAUCGUAGUGUGUGUGCGGUUGAUGGGCGCUAUUAUUUUAUUAACAUGUUGCGCCGCCGCCGUGUGUGAUUGAUUGGUUUUGCUGCCGCAGCAGCCAUGGAAGAUGUUCGAGUGGCAGGGUGGCCCCAUCAUCCUCGCCCAGGUGGAGACGGGUACAUGGAGUAGGCGAUGGGCGGCGGCGCCGAGCCGUACACCAACUGGGCCACCAAGAUGGUCGUCGCCACUGACACCAGCGUGCCGUGGGUGAUGUGAAAGCAUGAAGAUGCCCCCGACGCCGCGGACAUCACAUCACCGAAUCAAGCUGCCAACUUUGGAGCCUGGUACUGGCACCAUAAAAUAUAUACUCUUAGCUAAUUCGUUCCUUUCCUUCUAUUAAAAUUGACAGAUUUGUCAGUUGUUCCCUUUGUAAUGAUGAAUAUAUUCGUGAUGGCUGCAAAAAAAUACCUGCAAUGGCUUCUACUGCAACUCCUUCGGCCCCAACUCCAACAGCAAGCCUACCAUGUGGACCGAGGCCUGGCCUGGAUGGUUCACGGCAUUUGGUGUCGCGGUGCCGCACCGGCUGGUGGAGGACAUGUCGUUCGUGGUGGUAAGGUUCAUUCAGAAGUGCGGUUCCUUCGUCAACUACUACAUGUACCAUGGACCGGACCGCCGAUGGCAUGUUCAUCGCGGCAAGCUACGACCAUGAUGCACCGAUUGACGAAUAUGGUACGCGACCAGUACUCUGAUUGUCUGUAACCAUUGUUGUCAUGGUGCGCAGGUCUGCUUAGGCAGCUGAACUGGGGACACCAGAGGAACCUGCACAAGGCCAUCUAGCAGGCCGAGCGGGUUCUCGUCUCCGGCCAUCCCUCCAAUCCUCCAUCCGGCGCAUCGGGAACUAUGAGAAGAGGAGGCCCUGGCUCGGACAACCGCCGCAGGGUCGGGUGCGCCGGUGAGGUCCCUGGGGUCGGCGCGGCGGGCGUGACCUCUCCCGCCUCCCCGCCCUCGUCCGCGACAACAAGGACCAAGAUGUAUUUACGGUGUUGUCUGGUGCGUCGUCAGGUUUGGUUGGUCGAGGCCGGGUAUGAGUAGCUCCUGAUGCUGAUGGAUGGAUGGAGAUAUCAGGGUCAUGUCGCUGGGUGGGCAAAGACCGGGGGUACAACCUCCUUUUCGGUAAAAAAAUGAGGGGUGAUGAUGAUGACUCUGGCUGACAUAAGCAUGUCUUGAGCAAUCAAGACUGCUGUAGCCUGUGGGUACUAAAUUAGAGCCCACCCUUACCUCUCUGGCAGCCUGUUCAAUUCAUUGGUGAUGUUGGAUGUUCUGCACCUCGGAUGGUCAUUCUGACGAGUGAUAACCAGGGCAGUUCGUCUACAUUGCGAUGGUUAUGUUAUGCAGCAAGAGAUCUGAGUGUUGGGCUUGAAGAUCAAAGACAAAACCGAGCCCUCUUUUGCUAUGCUACAAAUACACAAAUUUUCCUUAUUUAUUAUACAGUGUUCUUCUUUCUUUUCUA
Molecule: long non-coding RNA, 1997 nt
Organism: Triticum aestivum (bread wheat)
Lineage: Eukaryota; Viridiplantae; Streptophyta; Magnoliopsida; Poales; Poaceae
Exons: 5
Source: RefSeq, a predicted model, not a curated record